CUAAAGCCAAAUCUGAGCAAGAUUCCUGAGUCACGAUUUUUCACUACUGUGUCAUCAGACUGAACAAUACCUCAAGCAGCAGUACAAGUUAGAUACUGAUAUAAGGUCCUGCAUAAGACUUUAAUGCUAAGAGACUUCUGACGUGUCUAGUAGAGCAACAGGAGUUUCUUCCAGUUUGCAACAAGAUGCCUAUGAACUCCCAGUAUUCUGUUUACUGCAAGCAAAGAUGUGGAGAACUCUGAAGGUGAGGCUGCGACAGCCCGAGGCAAAGGAGCGAUGUCUCAGCUCCUCUAUCAGGUAGAGGUGCUGUGCUGACAAGGGAGGACUGUCUCUGCAUCUGAGGAGUGGGUUGCACUGAACACUGAUGGAGAGCAGCUGCUGUGCCUUAGCUUCUCCUCACACAGGACUCCAGACCCAGCACUCUGCCAGCAGCAGGUAACUCCAGGGAAACUCCUUCCUAAAAAUGCCACUUGCUUCUGCAGCAGACUCCAGACAAGAGCUCUGUUAAGUGUCACUUUUCAACUUCUAAUGCCUGGUGAGCUGGGCACCUGCUGCUGCAGACAGCUACUGCCAGGAAAUGGUGACAGCAUCACUUUUGGAGGCAAGGGCAUAACCCCACUGGGGGUAUGGUAACUCAUGACCCUUGCAUUCCAAACUACAACUCGGAUGGAAGGCAGGUGUUAAAUGCAAACACAGCAAGU
Molecule: long non-coding RNA, 701 nt
Organism: Pogoniulus pusillus (Red-fronted tinkerbird)
Lineage: Eukaryota; Metazoa; Chordata; Aves; Piciformes; Lybiidae
Exons: 4
Source: RefSeq, a predicted model, not a curated record